RNAcentral lists this transfer RNA (72 nucleotides) under Oltmannsiellopsis viridis. RNAcentral's name for it is "tRNA-Met". It matches the Rfam family "tRNA". From Rfam's summary of the family: Transfer RNA (tRNA) molecules are approximately 80 nucleotides in length. The record is from RNAcentral. Lineage: Eukaryota; Viridiplantae; Chlorophyta; Ulvophyceae; Oltmannsiellopsidales; Oltmannsiellopsidaceae.
GCCUGCUUAACUCAGUGGUAGAGUACCCGUCUCAUACGCGGAGUGUCACUAGUUCGACUCUAGUAGCAGGCA